UCUUUCGAUUUAAAUUAUCGCAAGUGUACGGUUCGUUAACAAGUAAUAAAGUGGAUUAAAUGAGUCCGAAUAUCGUCCCACAGAGAUUGAUUAGUUCAAUUUUACCUAUCGUCGCCUUAACCGAAACAAUAGAAAUUCUUGAUAUUUUCGCUAACUAAAUUAUGAUUUAAUAACUUACUUAUAAAUAUAAAGCCUGAAUUAACUAAAUUAAAUGCGUGAUUAUAACUAAAUG
Molecule: long non-coding RNA, 232 nt
Filed under: Olea europaea (common olive)
Lineage: Eukaryota; Viridiplantae; Streptophyta; Magnoliopsida; Lamiales; Oleaceae
Description: long non-coding RNA (OEUR_LNC008279)
Source: RNAcentral